This 253-nucleotide unclassified non-coding RNA is filed under the name uncultured Trueperaceae bacterium. Its description in RNAcentral is "contains 16S-23S intergenic spacer region". It matches the Rfam family "Bacterial small subunit ribosomal RNA", at positions 524 to 776 of the family's 1533-position model. Lineage: Bacteria; Thermotogati; Deinococcota; Deinococci; Trueperales; Trueperaceae. The record is from RNAcentral.
UACGGAGGGUGCAAGCGUUAUCCGGAAUCACUGGGCGUAAAGGGCGUGUAGGUGGUUCAUCAAGUCUGAUGUUAAAUUCCGGGGCUCAACCCCGGGUCGGCGUCGGAUACUGAUGGGCUUGACGACUGGAGAGGUGAGUGGAAUUACCAGUGUAGCGGUGGAAUGCGUAGAUACUGGUAGGAACACCCAUUGCGAAGGCAGCUCACUGGACAGUCCGUGACACUGAGACGCGAAAGUGUGGGGAGCAAACCGG